GCCGAAGUGGUGGAAUUGGUAGACACGCCGGUCUCAAAAACCGGUGCCUUCGGGCGUGACGGUUCGACUCCGUCCUUCGGCACCA
This 85-nucleotide transfer RNA is filed under the name Deltaproteobacteria bacterium. Its description in RNAcentral is "tRNA-Leu". It matches the Rfam family "tRNA". From Rfam's summary of the family: Transfer RNA (tRNA) molecules are approximately 80 nucleotides in length. Their secondary structure includes four short double-helical elements and three loops (D, anti-codon, and T loops). The record is from RNAcentral. RNAcentral also lists the same sequence under 2 other names. Lineage: Bacteria; Pseudomonadati; Myxococcota; Myxococcia.